RNAcentral lists this ribosomal RNA (31 nucleotides) under uncultured fungus. Its description in RNAcentral is "partial 5.8S ribosomal RNA". The record is from RNAcentral. Lineage: Eukaryota; Fungi.
CAACUUUCAACAACGGAUCUCUUGGCUCAUC